CGCAUGGGCGGCGUGCUAUACAUGCAGUCGAGCGGAUCGAUGGGAGCUUGCUCCCUGAGAUCAGCGGCGGACGGGUGAGUAACACGUGGGUAACCUGCCUGUAAGACUGGGAUAACUCCGGGAAACCGGGGCUAAUACCGGAUAACACCUACCCCCGCAUGGGGGAAGGUUGAAAGGUGGCUUCGGCUAUCACUUACAGAUGGACCCGCGGCGCAUUAGCUAGUUGGUGAGGUAACGGCUCACCAAGGCGACGAUGCGUAGCCGACCUGAGAGGGUGAUCGGCCACACUGGGACUGAAACACGGCCCAGACUCCUACGGGAGGCAGCAGUAGGGAAUCUUCCGCAAUGGACGAAAGUCUGACGGAGCAACGCCGCGUGAGUGAAGAAGGUUUUCGGAUCGUAAAACUCUGUUGUUAGGGAAAAACAAGUGCCGUUCGAAUAGGGCGGCACCUUGACGGUACCUAACCAGAAAGCCACGGCUAACUACGUGCCAGCAGCCGCGGUAAUACGUAGGUGGCAAGCGUUGUCCGGAAUUAUUGGGCGUAAAGCGCGCGCAGGUGGUUUCUUAAGUCUGAUGUGAAAGCCCACGGCUCAACCGUGGAGGGUCAUUGGAAACUGGGGAACUUGAGUGCAGAAGAGGAAAGUGGAAUUCCAAGUGUAGCGGUGAAAUGCGUAGAUAUUUGGAGGAACACCAGUGGCGAAGGCGACUUUCUGGUCUGUAACUGACACUGAGGCGCGAAAGCGUGGGGAGCAAACAGGAUUAGAUACCCUGGUAGUCCACGCCGUAAACGAUGAGUGCUAAGUGUUAGAGGGUUUCCGCCCUUUAGUGCUGCAGCUAACGCAUUAAGCACUCCGCCUGGGGAGUACGGUCGCAAGACUGAAAUCAGAAAA
This 891-nucleotide ribosomal RNA is filed under the name Rossellomorea marisflavi. Its description in RNAcentral is "bacterial SSU rRNA". It matches the Rfam family "Bacterial small subunit ribosomal RNA", at positions 34 to 908 of the family's 1533-position model. Lineage: Bacteria; Bacillati; Bacillota; Bacilli; Caryophanales; Bacillaceae. The record is from RNAcentral.